AUGACAAAGUCAGGGACUUUCACGGUGCGAUCUGCAUACCAUACAGAAUGGGAAUUUCAAUUUGGGCACAAGUUGAAAUCAACGGCUGGAGCUUCAAACCCAUCUUAUACAUGGGACUCGGUAUGGAACUUAGUCUGCCCAGCAAAGAUAAAAAUAUUUAUGUGGCGCGCGCUCCAGAAUGCUAUUCCCUAUCGAUCUAUCCUGGCUAAUAAGCACUUGAAAAUAAAUCUGAGUUGCCCAGCCUGUAACCAGGGGCCUGAUGACAUAAGACAUAUGUUGUUCGAAUGCAAAUUGGCAACGGACGUGUGGAAGAUGCUCGGUCUUGAGCUUGUUAUCAAAGAGGCACUAAAAGUUGACAAGGCAGGUGAGCUUGUGUUGGCACAUCUUCUGUGCCUUCCAGAACAACAAAUCCAAGUGUUGGGCUUGCCGAAGUUCAGAGAAACGAUGGCAACAACGGCUUGGUAUUUGUGGUAUGAAAGGAGAAAAUUGACACAUGAUGAAGAAACUUAA
Molecule: ribosomal RNA, 510 nt
Filed under: Triticum aestivum (bread wheat)
Lineage: Eukaryota; Viridiplantae; Streptophyta; Magnoliopsida; Poales; Poaceae
Description: partial small subunit ribosomal RNA
Source: RNAcentral